AUGGCAAAAUAUUGGUGGAGUAGCUCUAUCGACAAGCGGUCGCUCCCCUCGAUUUCUUGGCAGAAACUUUCAACACCAAAGUGCAAAGGGGGGAUGGAGUUCCAAGAUCUUCACAUCUUCAACCUAUCCUUGCCUGGGAAACAAGGAUGGCGACUUGUAACAAACCCCAACACUUUGUGUGCCAGAAAUCUGAAGGGCAAGUACUUCCCUAACUCGGACUUCAUGCAAGCUACAGCUCCCAAGAAUUCUUCUGAUACUUGGAGAGCUAUCAUCUCUGGACAAGAAGCUUUGCUAGUUGGUUUGAUUAAGAGAGUAGGGGAUGGGUCCUCCAUUGCAGUCUGGGAAGAUCGCUGGAUCCCGUCCACUACAUCGAUGUCCACACUGUUUCGACCAACGAACACAAAUAUAUCCAGGGUUGACGAGCUGAUUGAUACUGCAACCUGGACUUGGCGAAAGCAACUGGUGUGGGACACUUUUAUUCCGCCUGAUACGGAAGCUAUUCUGAACAUCCCGCUCCGUUCUGGAGGCGGAGAGGAUUUCUAUGCAUGGGCACAUGAGCCCUCAGGCAGCUACACCGUCAAGUCGGCAUACCGAGUUGUGAUAGCCUGA
Molecule: ribosomal RNA, 609 nt
Filed under: Triticum aestivum (bread wheat)
Lineage: Eukaryota; Viridiplantae; Streptophyta; Magnoliopsida; Poales; Poaceae
Description: partial small subunit ribosomal RNA
Source: RNAcentral